GGACCGGUAGCUCAAUGGAUUAGAGCAGCACUCUUAUAAGGUGCAAGUUGUGCGUUCGAGUCGCACCCGGUCUA
This 74-nucleotide transfer RNA is filed under the name Chloroflexota bacterium. RNAcentral's name for it is "tRNA-Ile". It matches the Rfam family "tRNA". Rfam says of the family: Transfer RNA (tRNA) molecules are approximately 80 nucleotides in length. Their secondary structure includes four short double-helical elements and three loops (D, anti-codon, and T loops). The record is from RNAcentral. Lineage: Bacteria; Bacillati; Chloroflexota.